UACGAAGGGGGCUAGCGUUGUUCGGAAUCACUGGGCGUAAAGCGCACGUAGGCGGAUCUUUAAGUCAGGGGUGAAAUCCCGAGGCUCAACCUCGGAACUGCCUUUGAUACUGGGGAUCUCGAGUCCGGGAGAGGUGAGUGGAACUGCGAGUGUAGAGGUGAAAUUCGUAGAUAUUCGUAAGAACACCAGUGGCGAAGGCGGCUCACUGGCCCGGAACUGACGCUGAGGUGCGAAAGCGUGGGGAGCAAACAGG
Molecule: ribosomal RNA, 253 nt
Filed under: uncultured bacterium
Lineage: Bacteria
Description: partial 16S ribosomal RNA
Rfam family: Bacterial small subunit ribosomal RNA
Source: RNAcentral